Molecule: long non-coding RNA, 1596 nt
Organism: Chinchilla lanigera (long-tailed chinchilla)
Lineage: Eukaryota; Metazoa; Chordata; Mammalia; Rodentia; Chinchillidae
Exons: 4
Source: RefSeq, a predicted model, not a curated record
UGGAUGCCAUGAAGUGAGCGGCUCUGCUCCACAGCGGACCCUUCCACGAGGCCGUUUCUGCCCUGGAGCCAGCUGGCGAAGACUGAAACCUCUACAGUCGGCCUGGCUGCAGUCUGAACUUGGAUUACAAGGAACUGGCAUUCAUAAGCGCAAGCAACAGAAACUGAUUGGGAAUUUAAGCAGAAGAGGAAUCAGAGGAGAAGCCACUGGGGAGUCUGGCGUUGAUUGCUGGGAAGGCUGCAGUAGCAAAUCUGAACACCAUGCUAGCAGAGGCACAGGGCUAAUCUGGUCCCAGAACCCUCCACUUCUGCUAACCGUACCCAAGCUCCUCCUCCCAUGGACACUAGGAACAGUCACUGGCCUUAGAGCCUGAGCUUUUCCUGACACAGGUUAGUGCUGCUUCUGUGGCCACCACCACUAGUCUGGGCCUCUGCACCACCUCGUGUCUUUGUGUCACUGGCGUCUCAUUCAAAGCAAGUUUUCUGCAGGUAUCUCCCAAGGGGCAACAGGAAGCCAGAGAACGAGGGAUCGUGACACAUUCAUAAAGUUUUCAGGGAGAUGUAGCAGUGGCAUGGAUGCUGAUGUCCACCCAGAACUGCCCGGACUUGAGGAACAGAAGACUUAGUCCUCCAGCUCUGGGGAGCACAGUUGGCAGGUGAGCCUUACCUGUAAUCCUUUUUUGGGGUUGUCCUUGGCUGCCAUGUUUUUGAGGCAGCCUCUAUGAUGAUUGAUCAACUUGAAGCCACAGAGGCUGAUCCCCUUCCCCCAGCUCAGGACAACUCCACAAAGAUCUAUCUCGGGGCUGGAGAUUUAGUUCAGUGGCACAGCGCCUGCCUGGCAAGUGCAAGAUUGUGAGUUCGAUUCCUGGUACCAGAAGAAAAACAAAACAAAACAAAACAAAAACCACAAAGAUAUAUCUCAGGCUCAGAGUUCUCCAUAGAGUAUGCUGGAGUCUUGGUCCUGAUAUCAUAAUUCAACCACUCUGUCUGCCGCAUCCUGCUGCAUCUCUUUUCCACAAGUGUUGAGCCCAAGAGCGCUCCUUAAGUGACUUUUUAGUGCUGAUCUCUGCCUCAGAGCCUGCUUCCCGGCAAAGCCACCCAGCACUCCUCCACCCCUACUUAUGUCCAUGCUCCUUGCAAUGUCACUUACUAGCUUCUACAAUCAAGAGUUGGGGGCUAAUUUUGCCACACCUUAAAUCUAAGAUUGUGUUGAGAUUUGCUUUGGUCAACAGAAUGAGACAGAAGUGACCUUGCACUGGAUCUGAGCCUGCACCUCCAGAAGCCUUGCAUGCUUCUGCUCUCACUCUUGGAACCCUGCCACUACCCAGAGACCAAGCCCAGGCCAGCCUGCUGGAGUGCGAAAGACCUGUGGCCAAGCUGCCACUGUUGCCCCAGCUGACCGUGAACCAACCCCAGAAGCAGAGCCAUCUAGCUGGCCACAGUGUGUGAAUGAACCCAGCCAAGGCCGGAAGUAACACCUAGUUGAGCCCAGCCCAACUUACCAACCCAGAAAUCUAUGUGCUUAAAGAGGAUUUGUUUUAAAGAGACUGAGAAAAAGCAGCUGCUUUUGCUGUAGCACUAAGAGAAACAGACCCAA